Molecule: non-coding RNA, 30 nt
Filed under: Rattus norvegicus (Norway rat)
Lineage: Eukaryota; Metazoa; Chordata; Mammalia; Rodentia; Muridae
Source: RNAcentral
UGAAAGAAUUUACUUAGAACAAAGGUCCCU